This is a long non-coding RNA of Brassica napus (rape), 2899 nucleotides long. RefSeq lists it as uncharacterized. The record is from RefSeq and is a predicted model, not a curated record. Lineage: Eukaryota; Viridiplantae; Streptophyta; Magnoliopsida; Brassicales; Brassicaceae. The transcript has 2 exons.
AAAUAAUAAAGUCAAAGAGAUUACCAUUCCAUAGACUUUCAUGCUGCCUUUCGAAGUAACCAUAGUUUGCAGCAAGAACUCCAUCAACAUCAAAUGAAGAACCAUCAACGAUUGAAGCCGGUAAGAUCAGUCGCCACCAUCCGCUGUAGAUCUGUCAAUUACCUUUUCUAAAUGGUUCAAUUGAACCAAGUUUUUGUCUUACCAAAUCCAUUGGAAGAAACAUACAAAAGAACAAUAAAAAACUAUGCCAUAUUUAAAAUAAAUUUGCAAUCAAACAAACCAAGUGUAAAAUUCAUAAAUUUCCAGAAGUCUAGAAAAUAGGGUCAAAAAGUUUUGCGUUAAAAUUGAAAGGAUCAUCCCUGAAGUAUUUAAGAGUUUUUUAUACUUUAGUCCAUUUAUAAUUUUUUUAAUGUAUGGGUUUAUAUGUGACGAAGAACUGCAAUGAUAAAAUAAUAUUAAAAUAGUUUCAUUUUUUAUCAUAUGUUUAUGAACAUUUUUUCCUGCACAUACACAUGAUUUAACCAACAUUUUCAUAAUAUGGAUGAACUAUAGUUCUUAUGUAAAUUUAUGUGAUAUUUUUAAUUUGAUUUAUAUAUUUUAUAGGUAAUAUGUUAUGUUUUUUCAAUACAUACUGUAGUUGUUCUUAAAACAUCAAAAUUUUAUGUGUAAUGUUUAUUAAUGUGCACAUAAUUCUUAAAACCAUAUUUUUCACAAAAUAAAAAAUAAUGUUUGACCAAACCAAAUACUCAUUUUUUAAUUUACCGGCAAAAUCCAUUUAUCUAUUUCUUUACUUGUAAAGCUUAAAACAAAAUUUUAUCAAACAGUUUUUGUUGAUAAAUAAGUUUUAUAUUUCAGAAAAUCUAUAUAUAUUUUUAUAUCCAACAGGAAUGAUGGCAGAAGUGCAUAAAAAGAAUUGUCCUCAUAAAAUUCCAAUAAAAGGAAGCUAUUGUAUUCCAACUGAAUGUUUGGCUAUGUGUAAGAAACAACAUGGAACUCUUGGAAGUUGUGCGGAAAAAGGAAUUUGUAGGUGCGUUUAUAAGUAAGGGUUCUCACUAAGUGUUAUGACUCUAAUAAUGUCCAACCAAAGUUUUAUAUUAUUUAUUUUAACAAUAAGUCUAAAUGUUUGUCUCUGAUUUGUGGAUCUAUUUAUAAUAAAUAAUAAUUUGAAUGUUAAAUAAAUACAAAUGUGUAAAACCAGAGUGGACUAUUAAUAAAAUAUAUGAUAACAUUAUUGUUAGAUGUAACCAGUAUUAUUUAUAAAAUCAAAAGCUUAAGACAAGUUAAAAAGAUAGAGAUGAAAUCACAACCAAUAUUUAAAUGUGAGAUAAUCAACUAACAUGUAAUUUUGUACACAUUGUAAAAAAAAAAGCAAGUUUUGAUUCUCAAACAAGAAAGUGUUAGAAAGAGCAACGGAUCAUGCAAGGGCAGUCUAGGUUUUAAUUGGCUUGACAGAUGGGUUGCAGACAUGCCAUGGGAAAGUCCUACAAACUUAUCAGACAGCGCAAAGAAAAUUGAUAGAAUUGUUUCUGAACAUGACAAAGCUCUGGUCAUGAAGAAAAAUUUCACAACCAGAGUUUUUGGUAGACCUCCUCCAAUGUCAUCAUCAGCUACGAGUUAUGAGACUUCAUCCACAUCUCAGUCUCCAUUUCCAUUCUCAUGAAGUUUCCUUUAGGGAAGAGGUUAUUACAGAAAGCCAAGUUACAUGAACCUAACACAAUCUAUCAAAGCUAAGAAGAGACGAUCAACCAGUAUUCUUCAUCUUAUUGUUCCAAAAUCACUGUUUGAAAAGAAACAGUCCAUGUCUUACAACGAAGAUGUGAAUGUAAAGUGUUGUGCAUGUUCGGAUCCAUCUUGCACCCAGUGGAGUGAUCUAUAUCCACAUGCUCAAGUAACAAGGAGAAAUAUGUGGGCAAAGAAGCUAAAGUACACAUCGUUUCAUUAAAUCAUUAAAGCAUUUCAACACCUUGAGGGUUCUAAAACACACACAAAAUACUAAUUUAUUGAUAUAUAAGCAACUUCUAUGUAUGUUCUUUUACAUAUGAGUUAGUAUGAAUACUGCUGUAAUGUUGUUGUUUGACCACUUUUAUUAUUUAAUAGUUAACUUCUAAUGCUUCUAAGAUAAUAUGUUCUUCCCAACUCUUGUCAAUAUGAAACCAAAGGCAAAGUUUCAUCUUUAGACAUGAAAGACCUAUUAAAUGACCAAAUAACAUAGUUUAGACGAAAGCUUCCUAAUAAAAUUUAUUCUCACUGUCUAAAUCUAAAACUGAAUUCAAUUCAUCUAUAUGAUUAUUAUAUAGUUUUAAUUUUUCGUUAUUUUAUUGAAUGAGUAAAAAAAUUAAUUAAAAACUUACUAAUUUUUUAAUAUAAUCUAAUAAAUUAUGUUACGUGUGGGACAUCCACCUAAUAAACUAUUAAAUUAAAUAGUAAUGUUUGAAAAGUAUUUUAUUGACAUUGUUUUAAAUAAAUUCAUAAUUCUAAAAAUAGCAAUAACUUUUUGAGAACAUCAGAUUUAUGAACACGCAUAGGACAAAAACCUUUUUAUUUACUUGAAGGAAAAUGAACGACUCUAAAGCUUCCACAUGUUAUAUGAGCAAAACAUGGAUUUUUCUAAAUUAGAUUCGUUUAAAUCGGAACAUAUUAAUGUGAGUUUCUUAAAUUAGAUUUUAAAUAUGUAUAUAUACGUAAGAAUACUUCUUAUGUUUAAAAAAAAUAGAACACUUCAUCUCUUUCCUAAACUUUUAAGCCAAUAUCAAUCCAUUUCUAUAAUCCAAGAUGAAGAAAUCCCUUCAACUCUAGUUUACGUUCUUAAUUAUCUCCAUCAUUCUCUCACAAGGAAUGAUGACAGAUGCGCAGAAAAAGAAUUGUCCUCAUAAAAUUCCAAUAAAAGGAAGCUAUUGUG